CAGUAACUACGAGUCGUUGGAAGGACGGUCCAAACCAAACGUCUAUAAGGAGCUACAAACCGCUUCAUCUGGUAGCAGCGGUUUAUACACUAAUACCACAAUAGCAAAGGGCACUGCUUAACAUGACGUAUAAAACGUCAUUGAGAAGAUUUACUAUGCUUGCUGGGAAUGUACACAGGCACAAAC
This is a long non-coding RNA of Pecten maximus, 186 nucleotides long. RefSeq lists it as uncharacterized. Lineage: Eukaryota; Metazoa; Mollusca; Bivalvia; Pectinida; Pectinidae. The transcript is spliced from 2 exons. The record is from RefSeq and is a predicted model, not a curated record.